GGCCUCGUAGCUCAGUUGGUAGAGCAGAGGACUGAAAAUCCUUGUGUCGGUGGUUCGAUUCCGCCCNNGGCCA
This 73-nucleotide transfer RNA is filed under the name Flavobacteriales bacterium. RNAcentral describes it as "tRNA-Phe". It matches the Rfam family "tRNA". From Rfam's summary of the family: Transfer RNA (tRNA) molecules are approximately 80 nucleotides in length. Their secondary structure includes four short double-helical elements and three loops (D, anti-codon, and T loops). Further hydrogen bonds mediate the characteristic L-shaped molecular structure. tRNAs have two regions of fundamental functional importance: the anti-codon, which is responsible for specific mRNA codon recognition, and the 3' end, to which the tRNAs corresponding amino acid is attached (by aminoacyl-tRNA synthetases). tRNAs cope with the degeneracy of the genetic code in two manners: having more than one tRNA (with a specific anti-codon) for a particular amino acid; and 'wobble' base-pairing, i.e. permitting non-standard base-pairing at the 3rd anti-codon position. Lineage: Bacteria; Pseudomonadati; Bacteroidota; Flavobacteriia; Flavobacteriales. The record is from RNAcentral.